UCAUUCAAUACAAUUCAACUUUACAUUGCUAUGUAUUUAUACACCAAAGAAGGAAAGGAAAAGAGGAAGUAAAACUGAUUCUGUUAUAACAGAAUCAGUUUCCUUGAUCAGCAAGAAACCGAAAAAUAUCUAUUCUAGGCUAGAUACAUUGAUGAAUGAUGAAGCUAGGAUGAAUACAGAUACAUUUUAAUAUGAAUUGAAUAAGGAAAAGAUGACUAGAUUCAUUUGUUUCAUUUGUUGAUGAAUGUUGAUGAGUAGCUUGGGAAGCAAGGCACUUGGUAGGAUACAUCCUUUUGUUAUGUUUUAUGUUGCUUCUGGAUAGUAUAUC
RNAcentral lists this long non-coding RNA (328 nucleotides) under Lupinus angustifolius (narrow-leaved blue lupine). Its description in RNAcentral is "long non-coding RNA (LANG_LNC000167)". Lineage: Eukaryota; Viridiplantae; Streptophyta; Magnoliopsida; Fabales; Fabaceae. The record is from RNAcentral.